This 1275-nucleotide long non-coding RNA is filed under the name Sus scrofa (pig). RNAcentral describes it as "lncRNA (ENSSSCG00035034581.1)". The record is from RNAcentral. Lineage: Eukaryota; Metazoa; Chordata; Mammalia; Artiodactyla; Suidae.
GUGUUAGCUGGCCCAUGAAGACACAGUUAUUCUGUGCCCUAUGGAGUUUCCUUAUUCCCAUGUUAGGGCCUCUCCUUCUGGCACAGUUCAGUUGUUGGUGGCAAGGAGAGAGACAUGAAGGGAUGGACUGGGAGAUGUGUGUUCCAGGACGAAGGAAAAAGAUUCCACAUAUAAUUGAUAUCAUAUCCAAGGAAAACCCUAAUUGGAAAAGAUACAUGCACCCCAAUGUUCAUUACAGCACUGUUUAUGAUAACCAAAACAUGAAAGCAACCUAAAUGUCCAUCAACAGAGGAAUGGAUAAAGAAGAUGUGGCACAUAUAUGAAAUACAUAAAUGAAAUACUACUCAGCCAUAAAAAAUAAUGAAAUAAUGCCAUUUGCUACAACAUGGUUGGACCUAGAGAUGAUCAUAGUGAGUGAAGUAAGUCACACAGAGAAAGACAAAUAUCAUAUCAUAUAUCACAUUCUAAUGCUCAGGGUGUUUAGGAGCAAGGACAGUGCUUAGCAGAGAGUUUUGCUAAACAGGGAGAGGAAAAAAUUAUUAAGCAUUUACUCAGUGCCAGGAAUUGUGGUGGGUGCCUUACGUCUGUAGUGGACACUGAGGUUAACUUAUGACUUUCAAUCCAAGCCUGCCUUUGAGCAGCAACAAAGGAAUGGUUUCUAAACAGCCUAAUCCCCUCAAAGGAGAUUCAUUCCCUUGCCUGGUGGUGGUGGUGGGUGGGAGGGCAGCUUCUAGAAUCCAGGUUUAAGCCAAUCAGAGCAUUGCACUCCCCUAAUGAGUGGAUAGAUUAAGGCUGGGCCUGAGAUCUAAACUGGGCAUUCAUACAGAAAGGAAAGAUUCUUUCCAUUUAGGGGCAUGAGGCCAAAGCUCUGGGCAGCAGAUGCAUGCAAGCAUAUAGAUCCUUAGUGCCAGAGAGUCGUUAAAUCCAUCAACCAAACCUAAACUGAGCUGACCAGACAUCCUCCACUCCCUCCCCAUACCUUUCUCAGCUUGCUCUCUGCUCUGAAAGGCUGACUUGUCUGGACUGUGUGGUUGCGCUCUCUUGUCCUCUGGCUCUUGGGGAACAUGGGCAGGAUGUGGAAAGAGGGAGCAGGGUAAGACUCUGCAUACUCAUUCUGAGAUAAUCCCCUGUUUGGAGCAUCUUCUUCUGUGAGAUGACACCCUCCCUUACUAUUUAAACUGGUCUGAAUUAUGUUUAUUCGUUAUUUACAGUAACACAUGUACCCACAAACAUAUGUUAUCUCUUGUAAACUUCAGGAGAAGUUAAGGUGCCGUU